Non-coding RNA from Microcebus murinus (gray mouse lemur), 5634 nucleotides. NCBI's taxonomy places the organism in Eukaryota, Metazoa, Chordata, Mammalia, Primates, Cheirogaleidae. The record is from RefSeq and is a predicted model, not a curated record.
AGCCUCCCAGAGGCGCUUCGCUGGGGCGGAUUAUCUUCCUUCCAUCCCCCAGGCCCGGCGGGGUCCCAAAGCCCGGAGGCGCUGGAACUCCACGCCCCCUCCCCCCACACCGCUGCUUUUGCUUGUUUAACCUUCUCCCCGGGAGGUGACCCUGCGCCCCGCCAAGCGCAGCCAUCAAGGUCAAGCAGGGGUGGGGGGGGCACCUCAGGGGUCAUCCAGCGGUAGGGGUCCCCCAAGCGGCAAAGACCCUCCUCCCAUCCCCCAGCCCGGAGCCUUAGGCAGGCAUCCCAGGCCUGGUUUCCAGAGGCCCUGUGCAACCUUCAGCAGUUAUCUUAGCCUUUCUGGGCUUUGACUUCUGGGGACUGAGCCCUGCCUCCCCUGGGCCUGUUUCAGGACUUUCUUCCCUCCCUGCACUCGGUGCUCAGUCCUGGGCCCCUGAGCAAGACAGGGCCACCUGCCCACAGGUGGUGGGUCACAGAGAGUCCCCUGCAAAUCAGCACCACCCCAGUCCUGCAGUCCCCCAGGUGGCCUGUGGGCUCCUCUCUCUGACUGCACUGGGAACUCUAGGGGCAUUGACCCGGCUGAUUGUGCAGUGUCACCCUUGUCACUCUGAGAAGGGCUGGAAGGGGCAGGAGGGGUGGGAGGGGGACCUAGAUGGAGCCUGGAGCUGGGUCUGCCAAGGGCCCAGCCUUGGUGCCCCAUCCUUGGUGUGUUUCUCAGGCACUAGGACUUUUGCCUUUUGAAUAGUGGCAGUGGGGGCUUGUUAAUGUGACCUCCUGAUAUGGGGCCUAGAAAGGGCUGGGACAUAGGACAAGUGGCUCCCAGGGGCUAUGUAUACCUCAUGUGGAUUUGCCCUUUCUAGACCCUGAAUGUGUCCUCGAGGUAGUGAUGAUGUCCCCCCAUCUGGAAGACAAGGGAAAGGAGUCCCAGAGCUAGUUAAGGUGCCCAAGUCACACAGCUCAUGGCCAGGACAAUGGUCCAUACCAGGCAGAGAUAGGGGACUGUGGUGGACUCUGAAAUGUGGGGCUCAGCGGCCAGCCAGAUGCACGGUGGCCCAGAGACCCAGGCCAGCCUCCUCUACCAAGCUCAGGGGACAAGCCUGCCCCAGGCUGAAGAAACCUCCUGAGGCCCCACUCUACCCCGAGCCCUCGCUGGCUCCUGCCCCAGGAGACACUGCUCUGUUCUGGAGGUCAUAUUGCCGGGAGGGACCCAAGCUCUGUGGGGGAGACUUGGGCAAGGCGCUGGCCCGCUGUGCCUCCCUCACCCACCUGUACAGGGGUUGGUGGGCAGGGCUGGGGGUUCCCCUCUCACCUAGGUUGGGGCCAGCAGGUGGAGCCACAAGGGGAAUCAGCCCCAGAGGUUGUUCCCAAGCCCCAGCCCCAGGAAGGGUUGCCAGGUGGGCCUUGCAGGGCCCCACCCCCCACCCAUGCAGGACAAGCACGUAGAUGCCGAAAAGGCCUCUGGGCUCUCGGGAUUCCAGGAGGCACGUGAGGGGGUGAGGGCCUUCCCAGCUCAGCAGCCAGUCACCCCAUUGCCCCCAAACAAGGUGAGUCCCCACUGGCCACCAAACCUGGCCCAGGACCCAACCUCCUGGUCACAGGAGGUAGGUGGGGCAGGAGGCCCUGGUCAUGGGCUGGGAGCCUGGGCCCUGGCCCCAACUGGGGCACUUAGCCCUGUGCCCCAUCAGCUGUGCCACUGGCGUGUUCUGGGGAUGGGGGUCCUGGGGACCUUCGGGGUGUGGCGGUGCCCAGGAUAAGCCGUCUUUGCCCACUCCACACCAGGAGGCUGAGCCGGCGGGGAGUGCCAGGAAGAGGCGCUGUUGAGAGACGUUUAUGCUUCUCUGUGACUGCAUUCUUUCAACACCCUGGUGCAGUAAUAGGCCUUCACUGAAGAGGAAAUGGAGGCCCAGAGAGGGCCGGAUGGGUAAGGAAUGACGGGAAGAGGAGACGUCUCUGGUGCAUAAUGGAAGAGCAGGCACCCCUUAGGAGCUACAAGCACUUUGGUUUACAUCUGCUGAUCGAACAUGGGAGAAAACCCAGAAAAAAUAACAUGCGUGUCGUCGUUGGAGCACGUUUUUGGCUCUAGAUUUGAGAUUAGCAUAAUACUUGUCUAAAGCUAGCAACAGUAAAUUUUUCCUGUCUGGAAACGUGUUAAUGAUAUUUAGGAGAAAGUAUCUUUGGAUGGAGAUAAAGUUUGCUCACAGGGCUUUUAUUGUUAUGUGUGUUCUUGGAGGAGCCAGAGGGAGACAUCUGGGUAAUGUUUGUCAUCAUUUCUUUGAAAUAUUUUAAAAAUAUGUGCCACCCCAUCCCCAGAGCCGUUGAAUUAUGAGGAUCAUGUGGAGCCAAUGCCCGAGUCUGUUGGCAUCUGUCUCUGGGCUCGGCUCCCUGAUUUCCGACAGGUGGGAAAUUGCUCAGCCCAUUUUACAGUCAUGAAGACUGAACCUCUGUGGAGACUGGUGGACCCAGGACUGUGAAGUCCUCGGGGGGCUCAGUAGCAGGAGCCGGCCCCUGCUCCCUCUUCAGUUUACUUUCUGAAACAGGCUUGACCAUGUCCCGCCCCCACUGGAAGGGGCCCAGCUCUCGGGCAGGUGUCCAGGGCUGGCUGAGCUUACAAACACCAGAUCUGCAGCCUGAGGUUUUGUCUUCGGUGAAGUCAGCCGCAGUGAGAGGUGUUGGCAUUCCCACGUCUUCUGAAAUCCAGGGUUGACAGAGAAGCGGUUGCCUCUUGCUGAAAGCAUUUUCUCCUGGAAAACGCAGCCUGUCCCCUCCCCUCCAGAGAAGGGGGAGGGAGGCCAGGCCUCGGCCUCACCCCCUUGCCCCAGAAGGAGCCCUGGGCCUGGGAACUGGGCGCCCGGACCUCAUCCCCUCUGUCUUCGUCUGUCCUCGGGGCAGCUCUCCCGUGGGCUCCUCAGCUUGCACAGCUGUCAAAUGGAGCCUCAGAGUGGCCAAGGGCCGUGACCGGCUUUGUUUCGCUGCGGACCUCAGCAGGGGUCCGGGCAGCGAGCCCUGGGGUCCUCACGGUGCCAGACCCGGGUCCCUCCUGGCGAGUGGAGACCAGAGCAAGUGUGGAGAAGCCCCCACUCGCAGGCAUAGGACCCUUGAGCAGAAAACAUGAGCAGAAAACAUCGAGUGCACUCCAAGCUGAAUAUUUGGUGCUGGCCUAACCCAUCGUUCUUGACUCCGACGUCCAAGUGGCCCGCGACAGCCUGGAUCCCCGAGAUGUUCUGUGGAAUAUCAUUCCUUCACGGUGUCUCAGACAAAAGGCUGCUGGGGUCACUGCGGCCUGGGAGGUGACACACACUGGCUCCGCCCAGCCCUGAGAUCUGCGACACCAGGAGCACCUUAACCACUGGAGGCUCGGCUGCAGAGGCGUCUGCCCGCGCUUCCCACGCACGCUAGCCUCGCGGCACGCAGAGACACCUUUUCCGAGUCACCUCUACCCUAGGCAGGGUCCACUCAGGAGACAGAAACCGCCCAUCGCUGCAGAGAGCUCAGUGGGAAGAAGCACGAACUUGGUGCUGAAGGACUGAAGAGCGAAGGGGACCCCAGGACGUCUUGGGGGCAGCAACCCUGGGAUGCAGCUGCAGCCCCCAGGCCUGGGAAGGCACAGGGAAGAGGAGGCGUUAUUUAAACUCAGCAGCUCAGAGGAGGGACCGUCGAGCGGGCCCAGACCUCUGAGGGGCCACGGCUGGCAUUUCUGGGGGCCAGGUUGGCCCAGUGUGUGGAAACUGCAAACUGUGCUGGGGCUGCGGGGAGAGGAGCGUUGCCAUGACGACACCCCUGGGGCAGAGCCCACCAGGUUUAGGGUAGCUGUUCCUGCAGCGCUAAGUUAUCGCUACGGCCCUACAGAUUUGCCUCCUGGUGCUGAAGGCCGGGAGGCUGCCUGUGCGGAGGCUCGAGGAGCUCUGUGCACUGCGCGGGACGUGUCGGGGGUUGCACUGUCUCCCCAAAAUUCAUAUGUUGAAAUCUUCACCCCAGCACCUCAGAACCUAACCUUAUUUGGAAAUAGGGGAGCUGCAGAUGUAAGUGGUUAAGAUGAGGUCAGACUGGAGCAGGUGGGCCCCAAUCCGACAUGACUGGUGUCCUUACACAAAGGGAAAAAUCUGACACAAACACACACACACGCAGAAAAUGCCAUGUGGAGAUAAAGGUGAGGCCAGGGUGAUGCUUCUUGCAGGCCCAGGAGCACCCAGGAUGGCCGGCAAAUCACGAACAGCUGGACGCGGGGCCGGGAACACACUCUCCUCCUAGCCAUGGGGGGGAACCAGCCCCGCCCACGCUGGGCGCCCAAACCUCCAGCCUCCAGAGCUCCCCGCAAUCAGGUUCCCUUGUUUGAGCCACCAGUUCACGGUGUCUGAUGUGAUGGCAGCCCCAGGUGACUGGCAGGAAAAUUAAAGUGGCCAAGGACACAUAAAGCCCCAGAUUCCUGGUUUGCCUGGCAGGGGUUCCAACUACUGGAGAAACGGUUGUCAGAGCGCGAGGGACUUUCUGUGCUGGCAGACGCGCGAGCAGCUGCUCUGAGAAGCGCUGUCGUUGCUGAGUGCCCGGGUUAGAAGAACAGUGGACACGCCUUUAAAUGCACUGCUGGUUGCUAGCAAGAUACACACACACUCGCCCUGGCACCCAGCAAGGCCACGUCUAGGAACCUGCUCCAAAGACACGCCGGCCAAAUGACAAAGCAGCGAGUGUGCGAAGCUGCUGCUGCAGGCCUGUUUGUGGGUGUCCAGCGUUGGGACUGCUUGAUGUUUCCUCAUGAGCAGUUUAGGUUCUUACAAAAACCUAAGAAAAUCCCAGAAGGGACGCGGUAUUAUCACAUCUGACCACGUGGUUCACACUUGUGAUUUGUCCCAUCACUGGGGACACUGACUUUGCUUGAUUAGGUGGAACCUGCAGGUAUCUCCACUGCAAAGUCCUUUUUGUAAGUAGCAGGUGUUUUGUGGGAAGUACACUAAGGCCGUGUAAAUAUCCCAUUCUCCAUCACACCCGUAGCUGGCCACUCACUGUUGGUGAAAGCGUGUCCCGUGGAGUCCUGUUGCGUUCAGUGGGUCAUAACCCAUCACGGCCAGCGUUUCCUUUCACGCUCAAGUUGUCCACUGUCUGGCCAGAGUGAGCCACUUCCUGGUGGCCUCUGCGUCCAUUUGACAUGCCCUGUCAUUCCUCGAGCACUUCCUUACUCUCCAACACGACAGGAUGGCUCCAGCUCACCUUACUCCUUCCCCAGCCCAGGGCUGGGACCAGACGUUUCCUCGAGGACCCGGGUUCUCUUUAGGGACAAUGGCAGUUAGAAGCCAAGACCUGGAUCUAAGUGUGCUCACGGCCAUCAGGGUGCUGCUGCUCCUGGGGCCUCAGGAGGAGAGCUUGGCAUAGACAUUCGUGUUUACUUACAUACAUGCAGAUGUGCAGGCACACGUGUUCACCUGCACCUACCUCUCUAAGCACUUCAAUGUAUAACAUGUAUCUGUGUAUGUUGCAAGCCACACCUUUAUACCUCAGACCCUAAUUCACAUCCAGCACUCAGGGCGGUUCUUGUUCUCUCCCUUUCUCUUUGCAACUUCCUUCCAGCAAGACCGCUUUCGUCAUCCUCAGCAUGCUUACUCUUCCAUCACUGCCCCGGGUGAAGCCAGUCUCCCUCAGC